UGCAACCUGAGCUCAGUCGUGAUUACCCGCCGAACUUAAGCAUAUCAUUCAGCGGAGGAAAAGAAACUAACUAGGAUUC
This 79-nucleotide ribosomal RNA is filed under the name Heterorhabditis bacteriophora. Its description in RNAcentral is "partial 28S ribosomal RNA". It matches the Rfam family "Eukaryotic large subunit ribosomal RNA", at positions 1 to 77 of the family's 3401-position model. RNAcentral also lists the same sequence under 3 other names. The record is from RNAcentral. Lineage: Eukaryota; Metazoa; Nematoda; Chromadorea; Rhabditida; Heterorhabditidae.